This is a non-coding RNA of Paramuricea clavata, 93 nucleotides long. The record is from the annotation of a GenBank genome assembly. Lineage: Eukaryota; Metazoa; Cnidaria; Anthozoa; Malacalcyonacea; Plexauridae.
AUACAUGGGUGCUUGGAAAUACCAGAUUUAUUUCUCGUGUUGAACACGAUAUCUCACACGAAAUAAAUCUGGUAUUUCCGCGCACCCAUGUAU